UGAGGAAUAUUGCCCAAUGGGGGAAACCAUGAGGCAGCAACGCCGCGUGAACGAAGACGGCCUUCGGGUUGUAAAGUUCUUUUCUGGAGGACGAUAAUGACGGUACCCCAGGAAUAAGUUCCGGCUAACUACGUGCCAGCAGCCGCGGUAAAACGUAGGGGACAAGCGUUAUCCGGAUUUACUGGGCGUAAAGCGCACGUAGGCGGUCAGGUAAGUUGGCCGUGAAAGCUCCCGGCUUAACUGGGAGAGGUCGGACAAAACUGCCGGACUUGAGGCUGAGAGAGGAGAGCGGAAUUCCCGGUGUAGUGGUGGAAUGCGUAGAUAUCGGGAGGAACACCAGUGGCGAAGGCGGCUCUCUGGCUCAGAACUGACGCUGAGGUGCGAAAGCGUGGGGAGCGAACGG
RNAcentral lists this ribosomal RNA (403 nucleotides) under uncultured bacterium. RNAcentral describes it as "bacterial SSU rRNA". It matches the Rfam family "Bacterial small subunit ribosomal RNA", at positions 355 to 775 of the family's 1533-position model. The record is from RNAcentral.